RNAcentral lists this long non-coding RNA (2666 nucleotides) under Mytilus galloprovincialis (Mediterranean mussel). Lineage: Eukaryota; Metazoa; Mollusca; Bivalvia; Mytilida; Mytilidae. The record is from RNAcentral.
GAUGCAAUUACAGGACUUAUUAAUCAUUCAUCGACAAAAGAUAAAAAAUCCGAAAUAGGUGAGAAAUCAUUUAGUAUAAAAUAAUAGUUGGUUAAAACCUCACAUUCCCCUCGUAUAAUUUAGUAUACAUUUAAUAGUUCUUUAAAACUCCACCUUUCCCCAACUUUUCAGCCUCAUAUAUUUUUUUUUUAUUUUUCUGUCAUUGACCUUAUAUUAUAUAUAUACAUUCACUACUAGCUAUUGAUAUAUUGUUGAUUCAUGCUGAUAUUUAACCCCUUGAAAGCAAAGAUGGUUAUGAUAUAGCCCUAGAUGCUUUUAAAAUAAAAAAAAAACCAACACAUUUCUCUUUAUAUUUGAGAUGUUACUUUUACUUCUGAGCUUUUUUGGAAAUUUAUUAUUGUUAAAUGUACUUGCAAUAUUAUUAUUAUUGAAACAUAUACAUUUUGAACUUAACAAAUGAAUGAAAUAUAAUAAGAGGCAUUUUGACAUUUAUUAAAAUUAUGCACAAUAGAUCGAAAGAUAGGAGUAAAAGAAACAAAAAGAUAUGCAAAUCCUCAUUUGAAAAAAAUAAUAUAUUUUAUUACAAACUUAUUGUUAUUUUACCCUAUAUUGAAUAUAAAUCAAAGUCAGAAGUAUUUUCUUUUCAUGUGAGUUAUUAAGAAAGUGUUAUUUUUAGCUCACCUGGCCCGAAGGGCCAAGUGAGCUUUUCUCAUCACUUGGUGUCCGUCGUCAUUAACUUUUACAAAAAUCUUCUCCUCUGAAACUGCUUGGCCAAAUUUAAACAAACAUUGCCAAAUUCAUUAUUAGGGUAUCUAGUUUCUAGUUUAAAAAUUGUGUCCAGUGACCCAGUCAACCAACCAAGAUGGCCGCCAUGGCUAAAAAAAGAACAUAGGGGUAAAUUCAGAGAUAAACGGUAAACAGCAACAAUGUUCAGCAAAGUAAGAUUUACAAAUAAGUCAACAUGACCGAAAUUGUCAGUUGACCCCUUAAGGAGUGAUUGCCCUUUAUAGACAAUUUUUUACCAUUUUUCGUAAAUCUUAGUAAUCUUUUACAAAAAUCUUCUCCUCUGAAACAACUGGGCCAAACUAAACCGAACUUGGCUACAACUAUCAUUGGGGUAUUUAGUUUAAAAAUUGAGUGGCGUGACCUGGCCAACAACCAAAAUGGCCACCACAGCUAAAAAUAGAACAUAGGGGUAAAAUGCAGUUUUUGGCUUAUAACUCAAAAACCAAAGCAUUAAGAGCCAUUUGACAUGAAAUAAAAUUGUUUAUCAGGUCAAAAUCUAUCUGCCCUGAAAUUUUCAGAUGAAUGGGACAACCUGUUGUUGGGUUGCUGCCCCUGAAUUGGUCAUUUUAAGGAAAUUUUGCUGUUCUUAGUUAUUAUCUUGAAUAUUAUUAUAGAUAGAGAUAAACUGUAAACAGCAAUAGGAGGUAUUGUCCUUUAUAGUAAAUUUUUAACAAUUUUUCGUAAAUCUUAAUCUUUUACAAAAAUCUUCUCCUCUGAUACUACCUAGCCAAAUUAAACCAAACUUGGCCACAAUCAUCAUUUGGGUAUUGAGUUGUAAAAAUGUGUGGCGUGACCCAGUCAAACAAUUAAGAUGGCCUCCACAGCUAAAAAUAGAACAUAGGGGUAAAAUUCAGUUUUUGGCUCAUAACUCAAAAACCAAAGCAUUUAAAGCAAAUCUGACAGAAGUAGAAUUGUUUAUCAGGUCAAAAUCUAUCUGCCCGGCAAUUUUCAGAUGAAUUGGACAACCUGUUGUUGGGUUGCUGCCCCUGAACUGGUAAUUUUAAGGAAAUUUUGCUGUUAUUGGUUAUUAUCUUGAAUAUUAUUAUAGAUAGAGAUAAACUUUAAAAUACAAUAAAUGCUGUCAAAGUAAGAUCUAUGAAUAAGUCAAUAUGACUGAAAUUGUCAGUUGACCUCUUUAGGAGUUAUUGCCCUUUAUAGUCAAGUUUUAGUGAAACUACUUUAUUAUAGAUAGAGAUAAUUGUAUACAGUGUAGAAUCCUGCGUCCUUUGUUUAAUAUUCACACAGACCAAGGUGAGCGACACAGGCUCUUUAGAGCCUCUAGUUUUAAAAGCAAUGUAUUUGCAUAAUAAUAGUCUUUUUAGUUAGUAAAAUAAGUUGAUGUUUUGUAGGCAGAAAAAGAUCAGGAAAUAAGAAAAUAGAUACAGCAGAAUCCAAGAAGUGUACAGUAAGACUGACUGAUAUUGGUACUAUUAAAAACUUGAAAACAUAUGUAAACAAGACAGAGAAAAAAAAGAAAAGAAGGAAGAUAUGUGUAAAGAACUUGUAAAAAAAAUGUUAAAUGUUAAAGGGGCACUAGCUGUCAAAUUCAUGUUCACCGAUUUUACUUAAUUUCUAGUAUUUGAUUUAUAAUAAUGAAUAAUGUUAACAUUUAUCCAACCUAUUAAAAGUCUAAAAUAAAUUAUUAAGAGGACACGGUAUAAAAUUACAUAGCUUCAUUUCGUGUGUUCUCAGUCUAGACCGCCAUCUAAUUAAUUAUUGAGUUGACCUCUAAAGUCAUUCAAUGACCAUAUAAGCGAUGUAAACAUAAAUAUAGAUAUAAAUAGAUCAAGCAAAUUCAUGCUCUUGGAUUAUUCUAGGUCUAUUUAAUUUUAUAUUAUAGAUGAAAAAUUAAUGUUUAUCAUCGUUUUUAUCUGUAUAAG